CUUCCGGUUAAUUCGACAUUCCUCUUUAGUCUGUUCUAUUCUCAUUCAUUUCAUCUUUGGCUGUCCACGGAGCAACAUUCAUCUGAAGAAUUUUCUACGUAACUACGAAUUCAUAUUCAUUGCAACCGCAUAUAAGCUGAACGUUUCCUUCUUCUUCUUCUUCUUCUUCUUCUUCUUCUCCUUCUUCGCACCUUAUAAUGGCGAUUAAUAAAGCUUCAGCUUCAUGGCUAGCAUCCAUGCUGGAUAAUGUUCACACUGCAAAAAUUUGUUCUUAUCCACGUUAAAAUUGUAGUAAAUAUCCCAGAUAAUAAAUUUCUAUGGGAAUGCAUCUCUUAAAAAUGGCACAUUCAUACAAUUCAAGGAAAUCAUUAGGAAAUAACUUGGAAAAUGGUUGACCAUUUACAUUACAUUGAAUUAUGAUAUUACAAUGUGAAAGAUAAUCCACAUAACAUAUGAAAAUCACAAUGACAUUUGCAUUUAAAGGAAAAACUUCAAGAUAUAAUAAUAAACCAGAAGUAUGUAAUCACGCAAUACGGACAAAUUGAGAUCGAAUCGCUGAUAAACGUUUCUACAAAAUUUUUAAUUCAGUGAAUGAUUCAAAGAAAUCAAGACAGGAGUUUAAGCAUUACAAAAUUUCAUCGUGAAACUAAUGAAACAAAAUAAUAUAUAUAUCAUCUUUAAUCAUCCUUGGCCUUACGAGUAGCCCUAUAAUUUGGAAAAAGCACUUUGUGUGGAUAUAUGGGGGCUGUAUUCACAAAAAGUACGUGAAUACUUGAACUAUCAACCUUGGAUGCAAACUGAACAGUAAUGGAUUAUAUUGAUUCAUUAUGAUUAUUGUAAAAAUAUAUAAUAUAUACUUUAUUGGAUAUGCAGAAAUUCUAAUAAAAAUAAAAUAUACAAUCUAAAAAUUGUUGCAUUAAAUCAAUGAUGGCCAUCAUAUCACCAUUAUGCCUUUUGUAUUCAUGCUAAAUAUAUAUAUAUAUAUAUGACGAUAAAAGCUUAUAGUGUUUAUACGUGUAUAUGUUCUUUUAUGUUCACGUAAGAUUUUGUAAAAUUAAUCAAUGUGAACGUAUAAUUUUAAUGUCAUAUGAUUUAUAUCUUCUAUCGAUUAAAAGUAGAUUGAACUAUUUUAGCAGGAUGUAUGAGAUAUUUUUGCGUGCGAAAUAAUUUUUUGUAGCAAUGUAUUUUUUAUAUAAUACUUGCACAUAUUGUAUACCUUUUUUAAGAAAUUGUUAAGAUAAUAUAUUCAUAUUUCUAUGCAUUGAACACAAAAUCAUCACAUAUUAUGUAUUAUGCAUAGUUUUAGGAUGGUCGUAUUGCGUUAUAUCAAUU
Molecule: long non-coding RNA, 1332 nt
Organism: Vespa mandarinia (Asian giant hornet)
Lineage: Eukaryota; Metazoa; Arthropoda; Insecta; Hymenoptera; Vespidae
Source: RefSeq, a predicted model, not a curated record